CGGAGGAUCCGAGCGUUAUCCGGAUUUAUUGGGUUUAAAGGGUGCGUAGGUGGCCUGUUAAGUCAGGGGUGAAAGACGGUAGCUCAACUAUCGCAGUGCCCUUGAUACUGAUGGGCUUGAAUGAACUAGAGGUAGGCGGAAUGUGACAAGUAGCGGUGAAAUGCAUAGAUAUGUCACAGAACACCAAUUGCGAAGGCAGCUUACUAUGGUUUUAUUGACACUGAGGCACGAAAGCGUGGGGAUCAAACAGGAUUAGAUACCCUGGUAGUCCACGCCCUAAACGAUGAAUACUCGAUGUUGGCGAUAUACGGUCAGCGUCUAAGCGAAAGCGUUAAGUAUUCCACCUGGGGAGUACGCCCGCAAGGGUG
Molecule: ribosomal RNA, 368 nt
Filed under: uncultured organism
Description: bacterial SSU rRNA
Rfam family: Bacterial small subunit ribosomal RNA
Source: RNAcentral